CAGACGUGAUGCCUGCCGCGAGCAAAGGUAGCUAGCUAGCCGAUGUGAGGAGUGGUCGCGACAGUGUCAACGAGGAUGCGGACACGGUUGCUCCUCCAGUCUGCGGAAACCACGGAGUCGGUAGGGUGGACUUCGAUGUCCACUUCAGGCAUGUCCUUGAGGAUGACCUCCCUGGCGUCCUCGAUGGACUUCCCCACUAACUCCGGCCAUGACGACUUCUUCUCCUCACCGGCGGGUGCUUUUGGGUCAGCGCAGCUCAUCCUCGAUUCCUUGAGCUGCAAAACAAUUGAUUGAAAUAGUUCAGUUCAAAGACUACAGAUUGUUGUUGCCAACCGACAACCCUAGCUACCUCUCCUUCUCAACUCACUCGCUCGAACAAGAAAGAAGGAAGGAGAUGAACACAGUGGACACAAGUUUAUCCGGCCGGCGCACGAACGCCGCCAUGGACGCACGAACGCCCGAAUCUUUUUUCUCUUUGCAUUGUCUACAUGGUGCUCAACUCAGUGCAUUACAGUCAUCCCGCGGUCUACAGAAUUUAUACCCGGGCUGGCGCACAACGCACAGCCCACCCCGUCCGCAGGAUCCGCAUGCCCCGCCGCGCGCGCCCACGACGCGCGCGCCACGGCCGAUCCCAACGGGUCGCCUACCUAGCCAGCUAACUUUCUCACCGAAAUGUACGCGCCCAUGCGCGCUCGUCCGACGACCCAGCCAAGCCAACAAACUAGCUAACUAAUCAGGGCAUGCAGUAGCAGAAUCACACACCCAUGCACACAGAUCACACACACGAGCACAUACUCAUGGGUGGCUUAUUCCUAACACAGAUCACAAUAACAUUUAAAUUACGGUUCAGACUACAAAUCACAGUGACGCUAAUGCUAGCCAUCUUGCUCUAGGGACUCAUGUACAUAAAUCAUAUGGGACUGGGAACUUAAGACUACUCACCAGCUAAAUGGGAUCGAGCUUACCCUGAACUUGACUGAUACGAGUAUUUGCAUAACCCAUUGCUUGUAUGCCUAUUUAUAGGGUGCUCCCACAUGUAUGCUGAGUUGCUGACAGGGCAGGAGUGAAGAUAAGAUGCUCUCACACACAUGCAGGCGUGGAGCACGAGCAUUUGUUUCGUUGCGCUAACUUGGCGCAUAUACAGAGAAGAUGCUCUCUCACAUGCAUGCAUGUAGCGUGCGUGGUACACGACGCGGUGGCUGCUAAAUUGGCCGCAUCUUGAUUUCGUUAGGCUCGUUGUAAUGGGUAGUAUCAUAUACUAAUAUCAUUCAUAUGAUACUAGCAUAUGACACCACAUCCGUAAUACAUAGUAUCAUAUGUUACUAUCAUAGUGUAGUUCAUUUAUUGCCAUACAAGACACAUAGUAGCACAUCAUUUAAUACGAUACGGUAUGAUGAUAUGAUACUCAACCCUCUCUUUCUUCAUUUAAUUCUAUGCCACCUCAUAAAAAAUGCCUAGUUGACAUGUAUGAUACUACCUAUGAUACUACCAUUAUACGGACAGCCUUAUGGAUAACACGUAUGCUGAAGAAGAUGACAACGUACCGCAUGAUUCACGGGCUGAUCGAUCGUGUAGAUCAUGUGAGAACGGGCUUCAUUGAUGAAAAGGUCAAGACAUGAGUAUCUGACUCAUGCGGGCCUGAGCUAAUCUUACAUUUUCAAGAAGUUAUCCCAAUUCUCUUAACAUGUAAGAUAUCCACCUUAACAUCCCACAAAACAAUGCAUUUAAAUUUUCUCUCCCACUAAAUCAUGUAAAAUCUGCCACAUAGACGCUUUUAACAUGCAUAGUGUUCACCUCAAUGUUUCACUUAGUCAUGCAAAGUCUGUCACAUAAGUGCUCUCAAUAUGCAAAAUCUGUCACAUAAGCGAGUUAUGCAUUUAUCUUAUAAAUUACAAUUAAUUUUGCAUUAUCUUAUGCAUGUAACCAUAGCACACCAUAUAUUCAUGUUAGUCAUCCUUCACAUUUUUGUUCGAAAUAACAUUUUUAAUUGUAAUACAAAAGUUUUUAUUCUAUUUUUAGACAUUUUCUUUUAUUGAGUUGUAAGUUUAUACUUCCCUUUCAUUAGAGUUAACAACUACUUACGCAUCUUUUCAGAAAGUUACUGCACCAACGCGCGGGGAGAGAGUCAUCCUCACUACUCAUGUCCAAAUUUCACUCAAUGAAGAAGACACCCGGUCCAACGAAUUUUAAAUUCACAUUAUGUUACUUAUGUUUCAAAACUAUUUUACAACAAUAAAUUAAUAAAAUAAAAUAAUUUUUUUUAUGUUUAUAUUAAUGCUCAUAUAUUUAAUUGCAAUAUUCACGUUCCAUAUAACCAAGUAUCAUCUAAACAUAUUGCCAUCAAUUCCUACAGCAACCCGCGGGAAAUUGUCUAGUUCCAAUUAUGGUCGCUCCUUCUCUUUCCCCUGUUUUGUUUGUUCAGUGACAACUCCUUCUGCAGUUUAUCCCUUGUAUUUGUAACAGUGAGCCUCAGCGUGGAUAUCGGUUUGGCUUUCUUCGUACAACGACAUGAAGGGCUGAGUAUCUUUCUUGGUGGCCGGAACAUGGCCAAUUCAUGCUCCAGGGUGAGCAAUUCAAGCCAAUGCGAGGGGUCCUCUCCGGAUCUGGAGAAGCGGUCCUUUACGGUUUCCACCUUCUUGGGUAGAUGUGGACGCGGUUCAUCGUUGCUGGGCUUUGGCGUCGUCAGUUGCUCCUCCCUGUUUGCUCUAUUGGGACAAGUCUACUUGGAGGACUCCGUCAACUACAAGCUAGUGUUUAUUUAGAUUCCUUAUAUAGGGCUUGUAGUCUUUGCUGUAAGCUGCAUCGGCAACACCGUGUAUCUGCUGUUUUUCUCUUCUGUUCCUUGUUGGUUGUAUUGGUGACCUUGUGUAAUUCCUGACCGGUUGAUGACUUUGUUAAUUCAAAGCAGGGCUCUUCUUGAGCCUUCGUUCCAAAAAAAAGUACUACUUGAUAAUAUGAAGCACAAAUUAUAAAUAACUGGUCAAGUACAUUGAUCCACAGGUAGCAUGCUGGUGGUCAGCAUCUAUUUAUUGAUCCAUGCUUAUUGGAAGUACUUAUUCAUCAGCAUCCACAAUGCAUCCAUGUUGCCUUUGCUUGCAAAGCUAGCUAGCCAAUGUGGGGAAUGGACGCGACAGUGUCGACGAAGAUGCGGACACGGUUGGUCCUGAAGUCGAGGGUCACCGGCGAGCCGGCUGGGAGGACGACGAUGUCCGCUUCAGGCAUGUCCUUAAGGAUGAUCUCCUUGGCCUCCUCGAUGGACUUUCCCACUACCUCCGGCCAUGACGUCUUCUUCUCCUCUCCGGCGGGGGCUUUUGGGGCGGCGCAGCUCAUCCUCGAUUC
Molecule: long non-coding RNA, 3339 nt
Filed under: Hordeum vulgare
Lineage: Eukaryota; Viridiplantae; Streptophyta; Magnoliopsida; Poales; Poaceae
Description: long non-coding RNA (HVUL_LNC000081)
Source: RNAcentral